Molecule: ribosomal RNA, 163 nt
Filed under: uncultured bacterium
Lineage: Bacteria
Description: partial 16S ribosomal RNA
Rfam family: Bacterial small subunit ribosomal RNA
Source: RNAcentral
UAGGGAAUCUUCCACAAUGGGCGCAAGCCUGAUGGAGCAACACCGCGUGAGUGAAGAAGGGUUUCGGCUCGUAAAGCUCUGUUGUUAAAGAAGAACAUAUCUGAGAGUAACUGUUCAGGUAUUGACGGUAUUUAACCAGAAAGCCACGGCUAACUACGUGCCA